AACAGGGAAACUGGAGAAAAAACUGUGUUGUUAUGAGUGGAGAGGUUUUACAAACAAGCUGUGCACGUCGGAAAACACAAGUUUGAAUGUUCCAGCCCCGUGUUUGCUGAAAAUGAGGAAUGGCCUCAGCGUCAGGCCUGAGUGAGCGCCGCCAUCUUUAUUCGGGACGAUUCACUGGACACGUGCGCGGCCGCCAUCUUUGUAGGGGGCAAGGUGCAGCCAGGCGCAUGUGCAGCCUGUCUCUGGUACAGAGACAUUGUGAUGACAGCAGCCAAUCCUGCUCUGAUUCACCUCUGGGCUCCCUCAGGACCACUUUGUCAAUGUCCAGCUUCCUCAGUCUCCAACCAUGGGGAUCCCAGUGAUUAAUGCCAAAGCCCUGUUGCCUGGGGAGAGGGUGAUGUUUGACUUUCUUGUACAGCUGCAGUUUGUGUGGUGAAGGUGCUCCCACAAUGUGGUUGGAUUCCAACAUCUGCCAAGAUGGGAUUCGAACCAGGACUUCAGUCGUUUGUUUUAAUAUUUUGGAUAAAAGUUAAAUACAUUAGGUGGACAUUCAGAUGGUAAUCUCAGUAAAUAUUCUGCCAAACUCUGAAUUACUCAAUACAUCAGGAUCUGGAUAUUUGCAUUGUGUGUGUGUGUGAUGAGGGUGUCACUGACUGGGCCCAAAGGGCAGUAAAGAGUCAACCACAUUGCUGUGGGUCUGGAGUCACAUGUAGGCCAGACCAGCACAACCAGAACUGGACAGAGUAUUCCAGAAGUGGCCUCCCCAACGUCCUGCACAUCCUCAACAUAACGUCCCAACUCCUGUACUCCAAGGUCUGAGCAAUGAAGGAUGAGGCUGUCACUGGCUCGGCCAGCAUUUAUUGCUGCAUUUACCCAGAGGGCAGUUAAGAGUCAACCACGUUGCUCUAGGUCUGGAGUCCCAUGCAGACCAGACCAGAUUCCAGUGAUUAAUGCCAAAGCCCCAUUGCCUGUGGAGAAGGUGAUGUUUGACUUCCUGUCCAGCUGCAGUUCAUGUGGUGAAGGUGCUCCCACAAUGUGGUUGGGUAACUGCUGUUAUAGAUUAUUCACUCAGCGACAGUGAAGAGUUGACAAUGUCACCGUACAGCCUCUGACGGUCCAGGGAAAACAGCCUAUCCAACCCUGGCAACAUCCUGGACUUCUUUUCGGACCCCUUUCAAGUUUGAGAACAUCCAUCUGACAGGAAGGAGACCAGAAUUGCAUGGAAUAUUACAAAAGUUGCCGAAUCAAUGUCCAGUACAGCCGCAAUAUGACCUCCCAACCCCUACACUCAAUGCUCUUACCAAUAAAGACAAGCAGACCAACUGCCGCCUUCACUAAUCUAUCUGCUUGCUUCUCUACCUUCAAGGAACUAGGAAACCUGCACUCCAAGGACUCUUUCUUUAGCAGCACUCCCUAGGAACUUAUUAUAAACUAAGUCCUGCUAAAGUUUGCUUUUCCAAAAUGCAGCAGCUCGCAUUCUUCUAACCUGAACUCCUCAGCCCAUCACCCAUCUGAUCCAGAUCCUCUUGUACUCUGAGGGUGCUAGAUGGUGAAGGUUUGCAGACUGAAAUCUCAAAGCCAUGUGCAGAUUGUGAUUAAGUUAACCAGCAUUUGAAGAACCAAACAUGGGGAAUCACUUGGCCAAAAUCCUGCAACCCUCUCCUCACAGCAUUGUCAGUCUCUCUGCGCCAAAUGGACUGUGAAUGGUUUAAAACAGCAGCUCACAACCAUCUUCUCAAGGGUAACUAGAGAUGGGGAAUAAAUGCUGGCUGAGCCAGUGAUGCCCAUAUCCUGGAAACGGUUUCUAUCUCUAGUUGCUGAAACCCCGUUGAUGUUACUGCAGGAUGGUGAGGGACGCUGAGUGCAUCCUCCAGGAGGCAGCACCAUCACAUCACCCCUGCCUACACCCACACAGUAACACCGCAACAUCACUGGAACAAAAGGCAGUGAAGCUCAAGGAGGACUCAGAUAUAGUUCUUCGAGGUAGAGUCAUAAAACGGGAUUAGAACACAGCAGGAACAGGAGACAGCUGGAUGGUCAGCUGUUACCCAUUGAACGGUGGAGCAGGAUUGAAAGGCCGAAUAGCCUCCUGCUGCUAUCUCCCAGGUAUAUAUACAGCCAUGGAGCCUGGGUAGUGAGAAGUGGGCAGGGCAGGGAUUCUGCAGGCGAAUGCACUUCCACAUCAGUUUUCAGUGAGGGACGGUUUGAUGGAUUUUAUUUAACAUUUAUCUUUAACACAAGGUUUGUGAAUUUGUUUUUAAAAUGUUGUAGCUGUUUAUUCCACAAUAAAUAAAACUAAAAGAAAUGAAUUGAAA
This is a long non-coding RNA of Hemiscyllium ocellatum (epaulette shark), 2315 nucleotides long. RefSeq lists it as uncharacterized. The record is from RefSeq and is a predicted model, not a curated record. The transcript is spliced from 10 exons. Lineage: Eukaryota; Metazoa; Chordata; Chondrichthyes; Orectolobiformes; Hemiscylliidae.